This is a non-coding RNA of Helianthus annuus (common sunflower), 118 nucleotides long. Lineage: Eukaryota; Viridiplantae; Streptophyta; Magnoliopsida; Asterales; Asteraceae. The record is from Rfam.
GGUUGCGAUCAUACCAGCACUAAUGCACCGGAUCCAUCAGAACUCCGCAGUUAAGCGUGCUUGGGCGAGAGUAGUACUAGGAUGGGUGACCCCCUGGGAAGUCCUCGUGUUGCAACCC